This is a long non-coding RNA of Lontra canadensis (Northern American river otter), 502 nucleotides long. RefSeq lists it as uncharacterized. The transcript has 3 exons. Lineage: Eukaryota; Metazoa; Chordata; Mammalia; Carnivora; Mustelidae. The record is from RefSeq and is a predicted model, not a curated record.
GCCACCCUCUCUUAAAGAGCACCUGGGAUUUGUUUUCAUCAGAAAACAUAAAGGCCAAUUGGCUUUGUUCAGUUAUGCUAACGUGAAAUAAAAGAGAAAGAUGAAUUAAGGAGGUUGCUGUUCCACGUCCUAUCAGAAGUCAGAGGACAUAUUUCCAAGCCAGGUCUUGCUGAGUUGGAAAAUCAAAACUCUUUCUCAUUUCCAACCUUUCCAGGCAGCAAAAAGUUCUGAAGCUUUGGCCAGUGGGAUGCCAGCAAGAAUGAUUCAAGCCGAGGCCCCAUAAAUGCUUGCGCAUGGCUUCCAUGCUAGAAGGAAGUCCAGCUAUUCUGCCUGGCCACGUGGGGGGACUCUGCAUAAUGAGACAUCACACAAAGGCAAGUCACAUGCAAGACAAAGAGGCACUCCAGUGAAUCCCCAGCCGAGUGCCACCAAAGGAGGGACCCUGAAGACCCCAAUCACAGAAUUGCAAAAAAUAAUAAAUCAAUAUUGUCUUAAGCCAUAA